GGCAACGACCCGAAGGGCGAAGCGCGCAGCGCUGAGUAAUCCUUCCCCCACCACCA
This 56-nucleotide small RNA is filed under the name Citrobacter freundii. Its description in RNAcentral is "partial RtT sRNA". It matches the Rfam family "RtT RNA", at positions 75 to 130 of the family's 130-position model. Rfam says of the family: This family represents a bacterial cis-regulatory element known as RtT RNA. The record is from RNAcentral. Lineage: Bacteria; Pseudomonadati; Pseudomonadota; Gammaproteobacteria; Enterobacterales; Enterobacteriaceae. RNAcentral also lists the same sequence under 13 other names.